Molecule: ribosomal RNA, 509 nt
Filed under: uncultured microorganism
Description: bacterial SSU rRNA
Rfam family: Bacterial small subunit ribosomal RNA
Source: RNAcentral
GAGUUUGAUCCUGGCUCAGGAUGAACGCUGGCGGCGUGCCUAAUACAUGCAAGUCGAGCGAACGGACGAGAAGCUUGCUUCUCUGAUGUUAGCGGCGGACGGGUGAGUAACACGUGGGUAACCUACCUAUAAGACUGGGAUAACUCCGGGAAACCGGGGCUAAUACCGGAUAACACAUGAAACCGCAUGGUUUCAUGAUGAAAGACGGUCUUGCUGUCACUUAUAGAUGGAUCCGCGCUGCAUUAGCUAGUUGGCAAGGUAACGGCUUACCAAGGCAACGAUGCAUAGCCGACCUGAGAGGGUGAUCGGCCACACUGGAACUGAGACACGGUCCAGACUCCUACGGGAGGCAGCAGUAGGGAAUCUUCCGCAAUGGGCGAAAGCCUGACGGAGCAACGCCGCGUGAGUGAUGAAGGUCUUCGGAUCGUAAAACUCUGUUAUUAGGGAGAACAUAUGUGUAAGUAACUGUGCACAUCUUGACGGUACCUAAUCAGAAAGCCACGGCUACG